This 465-nucleotide ribosomal RNA is filed under the name uncultured bacterium. Its description in RNAcentral is "partial 16S ribosomal RNA". It matches the Rfam family "Bacterial small subunit ribosomal RNA", at positions 339 to 795 of the family's 1533-position model. The record is from RNAcentral.
CUACGGGUCGCUCCAGUGGGGAAUAUUGGACAAUGGGGGAAACCCUGAUCCAGCAAUGCCGCGUGUGUGAAGAAGGCCUGCGGGUUGUAAAGCACUUUCGGUUGGGAGGACUGCUUCUAGCACUAAUAUUGUUGGAAGUUGACGUUACCUUCAGAAGAAGCACCGGCUAACUCCGUGCCAGCAGCCGCGGUAAUACGGAGGGCGCAAGCGUUAAUCGGAAUUACUGGGCGUAAAGCGCGCGUAGGCGGCUAGAUCAGUCGGGUGUGAAAGCCCCGGGCUUAACCUGGGAACUGCAUCCGAUACUGUCUAGCUUGAGUACAGGAGAGGAGAGUGGAAUUCCACAUGUAGCGGUGAAAUGCGUAGAUAUGUGGAGGAACACCAAUGGCGAAGGCAGCUCUCUGGCCUGAUACUGACGCUGAGGUCCGAAAGCGUGGGGAGCAAACAGGAUUAGAUACCCGUGUAGUC